This 315-nucleotide ribosomal RNA is filed under the name uncultured bacterium. Its description in RNAcentral is "bacterial SSU rRNA". It matches the Rfam family "Bacterial small subunit ribosomal RNA", at positions 196 to 507 of the family's 1533-position model. The record is from RNAcentral.
UGUUCUACAAGCUCGCGCUCUGGGAUGGGUCUGCGUCCCAUCAGCUAGUUGGUGAGGUAAUGGCUCACCAAGGCAUCGACGGGUAGCUGGUCUGAGAGGAUGACCAGCCACACUGGAACUGAGACACGGUCCAGACUCCUACGGGAGGCAGCAGUGGGGAAUCUUGCGCAAUGGGCGAAAGCCUGACGCAGCGACGCCGCGUGGGUGAUGAAGGCCUUCGGGUUGUAAAGCCCUGUGGGGAGGAACGAACCGUACGGGGGCGAACACCCUCCGUACCUGACGGUACCUCCUUAGCAAGCAUCGGCUAACUCUGUG